This 387-nucleotide small nuclear RNA is filed under the name Jaculus jaculus (lesser Egyptian jerboa). Its description in RNAcentral is "7SK RNA (ENSJJAG00000006395.1)". It matches the Rfam family "7SK RNA". From Rfam's summary of the family: 7SK was discovered as an abundant small nuclear RNA in the mid-70s but a possible function has only recently been suggested. Lineage: Eukaryota; Metazoa; Chordata; Mammalia; Rodentia; Dipodidae. The record is from Rfam by way of RNAcentral.
GGAUGUGAGGGCGAUCUGGCUGAGACGUGUGUCACCCCGUUGAUCACCAGGAUUGAUUGGGCUGAUCUGGCUCGCUAGGCGGGUGUCCCCUUCCUCCCUCACCGCUCCAUGUGCGUCUGACACCUCCAUUCAUUGUUGGCAAUAUCUGUUCAGGGGCCGACCACAUGGUGAUCCCCUGGUCAUUCCCAGGGGUCUGCUGAUAGGACUCUGGGAAUUCAGUCUGGAGUUUGAGAGAGUUGGCCUCUCAGAAAGGGGCAAGAAGGGAUAGCAAGGCCUGCUUGGAGAAGGGACUCUAACAGGCUUUCCCGGUCCACAGGAGAAGGCAUCAAGAAGUUCUGCAGAAACCUGUCCUCCCUCGGGGCUCUGCCUAGGAUGCUGCCUGUGGGA